RNAcentral lists this ribosomal RNA (459 nucleotides) under uncultured marine bacterium 311. RNAcentral describes it as "bacterial SSU rRNA". It matches the Rfam family "Bacterial small subunit ribosomal RNA", at positions 1071 to 1532 of the family's 1533-position model. The record is from RNAcentral.
GAGAGUUGGUUAGUCAGUAACGAGCGCAACCCUAUCCUUAUUUGCCAGCGCGUAAUGGCGGGAACUAUAGGGAGACUGCCGGUCAAAAACCGGAGGAAGGCGGGGACGAGGUCAAGUCAUCAUGGCCCUUAUGGGUAGGGCUACACACGUGAUACAAUGGGUGGUACAGAGGGUCGCCAAAGCGCGAGCUGGAGCCAAACCCUUAAAACCAUUCUUAGUCCGGAUUGGAGUCUGCAACUCGACUCCAUGAAGUUGGAAUCGCUAGUAAUCGCGAAUCAGAAUGUCGCGGUGAAUACGUUCUCGGGCCUUGUACACACCGCCCGUCACGUCAUGGAAGUGGGUUGCACCAGAAGUGGCUUGUUUAACCUUCGGGAAAACGGUCACCACGGUGUGAUUCACAACUGGGACGAAGUCGUAACAAGGUAGCCCUAGGGGAACCUGGGGCUGGAUCACCUCCUU